AGAUUAACAAUGAAGGUAAAUAUUCAGAGAUUCAAACCUUGGUACAUGUAGAAUCACUGGAUUCAAAAUACAUGAAAAAUAAAUCAAAUCUGAUUGUUCAACGCAUACUGAGUACUUGUGAUAUCACUGUUUCAGCAAUAAAACAUAACCAAAACAUUUGUGCUGAUUUGACUGGAACUCAUGUACAGCAAGUGCUGAGUUUAAUUUUGAUGAGAGUCUUUGUGCUUUGAAUGAUCCUUGCAACACUUCAUAUAACAACAAACAACACCUCAUCC
RNAcentral lists this long non-coding RNA (275 nucleotides) under Sorghum bicolor (sorghum). Its description in RNAcentral is "long non-coding RNA (SBIC_LNC014485)". Lineage: Eukaryota; Viridiplantae; Streptophyta; Magnoliopsida; Poales; Poaceae. The record is from RNAcentral.